This 682-nucleotide ribosomal RNA is filed under the name uncultured Vibrionaceae bacterium. RNAcentral's name for it is "bacterial SSU rRNA". It matches the Rfam family "Bacterial small subunit ribosomal RNA", at positions 1 to 671 of the family's 1533-position model. Lineage: Bacteria; Pseudomonadati; Pseudomonadota; Gammaproteobacteria; Vibrionales; Vibrionaceae. The record is from RNAcentral.
CCGCGGGAUUAGAGUUUGAUCAUGGCUCAGAUUGAACGCUGGCGGCAGGCCUAAUACAUGCAAGUCGAGCGGAAACGAUGGGAGCUUGCUCCCAGGCGUCGAGCGGCGGACGGGUGAGUAACGCGUAGGAAUUUGCCCAAUAGAGGGGGAUAGCCCGAGGAAACUCGGAUUAAUACCGCAUACGCCCUACGGGGGAAAGGCUGGGCUCUUCGGACCUCUCGCUUCUUGAUUAGCCCAAGUGAGAUUAGCUAGUUGGUGAGGUAAUGGCUCACCAAGGCGACGAUCUCUAGCUGGUUUGAGAGGAUGAUCAGCCACACUGGGACUGAGACACGGCCCAGACUCCUACGGGAGGCAGCAGUGGGGAAUAUUGCACAAUGGGCGAAAGCCUGAUGCAGCCAUGCCGCGUGUGUGAAGAAGGCCUUCGGGUUGUAAAGCACUUUCAGUUGUGAGGAAAGGUUGUAGUUUAAUAUGCUAUAGCUGUGACGUUAACAACAGAAGAAGCACCGGCUAACUUCGUGCCAGCAGCCGCAGUAAUACGAGGGGUGCAAGCGUUAAUCGGAAUUACUGGGCGUAAAGCGUUCGUAGGCGGUUUGUUAAGCAAGAUGUGAAAGCCCAGGGCUCAACCUUGGAACUGCAUUUUGAACUGGCAGACUAGAGUACUGUAGAGGGGGGUAGAAUUUCA